RNAcentral lists this ribosomal RNA (433 nucleotides) under uncultured bacterium. RNAcentral's name for it is "partial 16S ribosomal RNA". It matches the Rfam family "Bacterial small subunit ribosomal RNA", at positions 29 to 507 of the family's 1533-position model. The record is from RNAcentral.
AACGAACGCUGGCGGCAUGCCUAACACAUGCAAGUCGAACGAGACCUUCGGGUCUAGUGGCGCACGGGUGCGUAACGCGUGGGAACCUGCCCUUAGGUUCGGAAUAACUCCCCGAAAGGGGUGCUAAUACCGGAUAAUGUCUUCGGACCAAAGAUUUAUCGCCUUUGGAUGGGCCCGCGUUGGAUUAGCUAGUUGCUAGGGUAAAAGCCUACCAAGGCGACGAUCCAUAGCUGGUCUGAGAGGAUGAUCAGCCACACUGGGACUGAGACACGGCCCAGACUCCUACGGGAGGCAGCAGUGGGGGAUAUUGGACAAUGGGCGAAAGCCUGAUCCAGCAAUGCCGCGUGAGUGAUGAAGGCCUUAGGGUUGUAAAGCUCUUUUACCCGGGAUGAUAAUGACAGUACCGGGAGAAUAAGCACCGGCUAACUCCGUG